UUUUAGCCUAGAUGGAAGCGGUAUCCUUUUUCUGUCCGCCGCGGCGGACAGAAAAAGAUAUAGCGGACAGCUGGUCCCGAA
Molecule: small RNA, 81 nt
Filed under: Flavobacterium sp. KMS
Lineage: Bacteria; Pseudomonadati; Bacteroidota; Flavobacteriia; Flavobacteriales; Flavobacteriaceae
Description: Flavo-1 RNA
Rfam family: Flavo-1 RNA
Source: Rfam by way of RNAcentral